GGAAAUUUGUCACAACAGCAAGCUAGCAUUCAGACUGGGAUUAUCAGUUAUAACCCUGAUAGUUGCACAGUUACUUGUGCGAAAGGUUGGACAAAGCGCAAGGUUGAGAACAACUGGGAGCAGAAAAAGAAAAAAGGCCGUGUGGGAGUAGCUGUCAAACGACCUGGAUAUAACUUCAGGCCUUGAACACUGCUCUUCAGCCAACAAUUGUGCCUAAAACAGAAUAUAAUUUUCUCUUGGUAGUGGUGAGGCUUCUCCUUCAGAGACAUUGGCUUAUGUGAAGGAGAGGUCUAUUGAAAAUAGUUUAUGCAGAAUACUGCUCCUGCAUGCUCUUUUUGGUUGGUAUUUGCCGCGUUUGCAACUGUAAAAUGCCUAACAUUAACAAGACGUAAUUUCGAUG
Molecule: long non-coding RNA, 400 nt
Organism: Coffea eugenioides
Lineage: Eukaryota; Viridiplantae; Streptophyta; Magnoliopsida; Gentianales; Rubiaceae
Exons: 2
Source: RefSeq, a predicted model, not a curated record